This is a long non-coding RNA of Triticum aestivum (bread wheat), 2945 nucleotides long. RefSeq lists it as uncharacterized. The transcript has 3 exons. NCBI's taxonomy places the organism in Eukaryota, Viridiplantae, Streptophyta, Magnoliopsida, Poales, Poaceae. The record is from RefSeq and is a predicted model, not a curated record.
AUGCCUGGUUGUCGAACGAGCCGCCAGCGUGAUUUUUCCCUGACCCCUGCCAACCCUAGCUGCCGCACAAACGCCAAUCGCCGCCGGCUGUCGAUCGCUUCCCCGCGUCCCCUCGUGUGUCCUUCGCCUCCCUCUGCUCGAGGCCUCCCCAUCUCGCGCUGCCAAGAGCGACUCCUGGUCUCAGCAGCCGCCCUCACCUCCCUCUCUCCCCAACCAGCCCCGCUCUCCUCUCGCAUCACACAGGCGGCGGCUCAACAUAUGCUGCCGGGUGUGGCGUAUGUGGCAUCUGUGUUGUGCUUCCGCCGGCUGGUUGUGUGUGAUGUGUGCGGCUGGAUGUGCAUCCGUGUUUAUGUGUGUGGCCUUCUACAGGCAGAGGAAGUCGAUGGUUGCAGGCAGAGGAAGCUGCUGGUUGCUGGCAGAGGAGGAUUAUGAUAGUUCCCUUGCUCUUUGCCAGAAAAAUUGAUAGUUCUCUUGAUUUGUUCUGGUCUGGAUUAGUACAAAAGUGCACUGAUAUUUGUUUUGUGGUGCGGGAGUUUCAAGACAACAGGUUUAGCAGGGAUCAAUUGCAACCUUCGUUUAUCUUCUGUUAUGUGAACCAAUUUGUGAUGGCUUCUAAAAGCACAUGGCUGGUACAGAGCAAUUUCUACACCAGAGCCGUCGUCUCCGUCGACUUCGCCGCAAGACAAUCUGCCAUCGCCUCCGCCGACUUUGACGUAAGAUCAUCAGCCGUCGCCUGGACGUACUUUGGCGCAGGAACCUGAAGGAAAGCGGCAACAAAAGCAAGAUCCAAAGGCGCAGUCGUGCAAGGUCGAACCAUCCAUAAAGAUCCUCUUCCUGCAGCUAUGAAAACUGUGGCAAGACCUUUGUUAAUGUGGCUGCCUUGAGGAAGCAUGCUCAUGUACAUGGCGAGAGAGGCAAUAUGUUUUUUCAGGAGCCUGGCUAUUUGAAGGUACCUCUAGCAAAUAUUCAUACCUCACACCUUUACCAAUGCAUACACUAACCGGUGGUGAACUUUCGUGUUUAUUAGCAUUGACAAACUUUUCAGUAAUUUCAUGGUUUAUUUUGACGGACCUUUCUCUAUUGUGCAUAGUUGAUAUUGAUAUAUCCAUCCAUCCAAUCCACGAUGAGUGUUAAUUGAUUAAUCCUGCACAACCAAUAAUUCAGUUAAUUUGAUCCUACUAGAUAUAUACUCCAUCCAAUUCACUGUGAGAAUUUUAAGAACCCAUAGGCAUCAAAGUCUUGGUCUUUUUUCCUGUCCAUGUGUAGGCACAAACAGUGCUCCAGCUCGGUCGGAUUAGAUAUAAGUUUGGUCUCUGCCCGAGCUCCAAUUGCUGCUUGGAUUUCCUUUUUUUUUUCCUCUCAUGCAACCGCAGAUACCAUCUGACGCCUUUUCUUUUCGUGAUUGAAUGGUGCUAAUAGAUUUCAUCAUAUGACUAUUGUUUCUCGGUUAGGGGCCUGUUAUAUUUUUUUCAGCUUGAUGAUGCCGUGGUCGCCCCACCGAUCAAAUCCCCGCACACACGCAACAACUCAACUCUACGGUUUGUACACCACCACCGCUUGAGCAGCCUGGCGAACGAUUUAGGUAAUGUAUCUGUAUAAUAUAAUCCUCCAUUACCAUGCACAAAGACUUCGAUUUAAUUUUAGAUCAGUUUAGUUCAGUGUGGUGAUGCUCAGCAUAAUAAGGUGUUGUGUUGUUAUAUUGAAAUAAAUGAUUCAACAGAGGUGAAUGAUCUCUCUGACUGAUGUUGCCAGUUGCAUCACAUACUUGCUAGCUUCCCAAAUGCAGUAAGCAAUGAGUACUUUCCAAAUGUAGCAGUGAAGACACUCAUUUUCAGAGCAGCUAUACUCACAUGUGCCCCAAACCAUUUAAUUGCUUUAAUUCCUGAACAAAUGUAGGUUGGUUCUCUUGCUUUUUACCAUGGUAACUUUGUAAACAUCAGAAGGCCUAAAUUUGGCAGCACACUCACUCGCUCAACAAUGAGCACUGGAGUCUAAAGCUUUGCUAUUGGCUGAAGAACAUCAAGGUCUUCAUUACAUGAUUAUUAGUUUCUUAAAUAUUUGUAUAACAUCAGAGUACUUUUUAGUUACAGAUUUGGCAAUACCCAGGACAUUAUUCUCCAGUCCAACUAUUGGCUUUCAAGGUGGCAGUGUGAGACAUUGUCGCUAUCACAGGAUCAUGUGGCAACGUAUUUGGUUUUUUGUUGAAAUAUGAUGGAGAUGGCUCUUUUGUAGUUAGAUGUGACUGCCACUCUCAUACCAAAUACUUUGAUGAUGAUACCUACUGGCGGGGAGGGGGGGGGGGGGUUGAAAAUGCAGUUGUUGCAAACAUGAGUGAAGAUGACUGUACGUGGCAUAUGUAUGAUAUAGUCAAAGAAAGUGAUUGGCAUGGCAAGUUUACGUGAGAAACAGUUAAAGAAAUUGCAUGGAAGAUGUUUCAAGAUUAAAGUAAAUGUGUGAGAGAAGAUUGAUGAGCACCAAUAUUAUAUAGUGUAUCAUACUUUUAUAUAUUUGGCAUAAAGAAAAUACUUUGUUCCUUUCUGAUCUUAUUUUGUUGACAUACUAUUUUCAACCUUUUGGGCCUAGCUUAAAAAACAUAACAUGUAGUGAUGUCUUAAGCACGUGUUGUGUUGUUUUUACUACUAAGAGAUCAUUUCCUCCGUAAUGGGCUCAUACUCAAAUAAUUUGUAUGUUUUUGAAUUAUUAUGCCACAUGAUAUUUUAUUUUAUUUCCCGUUGCAACGCACGGUCAUUUUUGCUAGUAUAUAUAUAUAUAGGGUGAUUACCCCUUCUGGAAACGGAAAUCCAUAGAGAAAGCGGCAAAGCCAACUGGAGACAAAGUGGUCAAGCUAACCCGCCCGAAGACCAAAGCCGUAAAACGGACGUCAAAGCGGAAAACGGCUGACCGGAUUAAUAUGGAGCUUGAUGAUGAUACUGAUGACCCAGAAG